Long non-coding RNA from Phyllostomus discolor (pale spear-nosed bat), 2496 nucleotides. RefSeq lists it as uncharacterized. The record is from RefSeq and is a predicted model, not a curated record. NCBI's taxonomy places the organism in Eukaryota, Metazoa, Chordata, Mammalia, Chiroptera, Phyllostomidae. The transcript is spliced from 2 exons.
GGCCGUGGCCGGGAGCUGGGCUGUAGCUGGGCCGUGGGAUCACUCAGGGCUGCAGGGCUUGUGCCCCCUCCACCCGCCACCCCCCGCCCCCACUCCUGCAUCCGAACCCAGGGGGAUGGUGGCGGGGGCACCACCCUUUCCUGCAUCUUUAAGAUGCCUCCAGCUGUAACUGAGGAGUAACUCAUUCAUCAAGAUUAGCAGUAGGAGUGCACCCAGGGAAACUCAAGAAGUGCAGAGGGAGGAAGGGGGUGAGAGCACCGUGUGAAGCCUGGCUACGUCUCUCCAGGGGUGUUCUCUCCUUCCCAGGACCAAGCCUCAGUCUUCAGGUGGUGUCCUGGGAAGAAACUGGGCUGAGCGAGAAACACCUUCUGAGUUUUGCGUGCAAGAGUUUAAGAAGUUUGUUUUCCCAUAAGAUGAAAAGUCAAGAAAACACAUUGCAAGCCUGUUGGCUAACUCAAUACACUGAGUUUGUAGCCUCUGAUUCCUGCCCAUGGAGUCUAAAUUGGGCAACUUUUCUGGGUUAGAAAACACUUCAUCUGUUGCAAUAGAAUUUUACAUUUACUCUAACCCUGCCUGCCUUUCUGAUUUUUUCUCUUUCCACUCUCCUUUUGCUUGCACAUUUCAACCUGCUCUAGGCACAGUAAGCUGAUUCCUGCCAGGCUUGUGUCUGCUUCAGGCCACUGAGUUUGUCAUCCUUGAGCCCAGAACAACUUUUCACUUGACUGACUGAGGCCAAUUGUUGUCCUUUAGCCAUAUUUUUGGCACUGUCCAGUACCACAACUUUUUCUUUUUCACAUUCUUACUUCAUAGAUAAGCACUUGGGAAGUCUAGCCUAUUACCAAGUCCACCUACCUUUGGAAUGUGAGCUCUGAGGGCAAAGAUUUUAUUCAUCUUGGUAACCCUGUGCCAAUUAGUGUUUCCCCACUAAUUGGCACAGAGUAGGUAAUCAAGAAGUGAAGGAAUGUGUGCAUACAAGCAUUUGUUGACACACUUACCAUAUCAUAUUGUAAUUUGUGUUGCAUGUCUGUCUUUUCCUGUACAUUUUUCAAGGUAGGAAUUAGAUUUUCUUCUUUGGGGUCCUUCCUGGUGAAUGUAUAGUUUGGCCAAGAAUUUACAAUAAGACAGUUUCUAAGCAUUAGUUGGAUCAUACAUUAUUAUCAGCUCCCUCUUUAUUGAAGAAAGCACUGGGAACCUGGGGAAAUUUAGGAGUUUUGGUAUCUCAGCUAAAGCAUUCAUUUCUCCAAGAGAUAGGAUGUUUCUCCAAAGGCAGGAUGCUGCCCUUAUUUUGGUGAAUGUGUGUUGGAUGAAAUGUGCUGUGAAAGAAUGAGAAAAUUCUCUGUAUCUGAUGAAUAUGAUGGACAAGAAAAGGCAGAGGAAGAACUAUGUGCCACAAAUAAAAUGCUUGUGGACUUCACUUAGAAUAGAGACAGAUCAUCUGAAUUUGUGUAAUUUAAAAGUUGGUGAGUAGAUGAUACAGAUUGAGGACCGAACAAAGGAAAAAUAGAGUUCCCUGAGAAAUAGGACAAAGCAGAAAUGUCAUAUGUAAUAUCUUAAAUAAUGAGAGGGUAGAGUAAGUAUCAAAUCCUGAAGUUAGAGUGAGAGACCGUAUCUUUCCAAGAGAAGAGGAGGCCCAACAACACUUAACGAAUGUUGACUGCAGCAAAAGACUUGGCCAUGGUCAAAAACAGGAAGAGUGACUAAGCUAUGGUGACCUAGGAAAUAAUUUAUGGAGUUUUAGUAAACAGAGGCAGAGUUCUCUUUUUGGGAAUUGCUGAAACAUUGUCUUGACAAUCACAAACCAAAGCAGAGGGAAUUUUAAUAGAAGCACGUAAUCUACCCAUGAUGAAAUGUAUUUACAGUUCUGCACCACAGCAUCUGAAGACAAAAAAGUGGAAACAAGAUUGGCAAAUGACUUCAUAGACUGAACGAUGACAACCUUUAUGUGUCUACAGUGGAUAGUACUAGUGAGGCAUGGAACAGUUUACCCUGCAGAAGCCCCCAAAGGCUCAGGAAUUGGAGGUAUAGGGGUGAGCCAGUGGGCUAAAAACAGCCAUUGUUUGAAAUGCCUGUAAGGUGUAGUAGUUAGAGGAGUUCCCAUCACCACCCUGGCUUCUACAGAAAAUAGAAAGCAAAUGCUCUGGAGAACCUUGGGUUUUAGCGACCUCUUGGCCAGCUCAAGAUGCCAAGUGGGGGAAGUAAGGUCAGAGAGAUGUGGCAUUGUACCACUCAUGAAAAGUUACCUUUAGAUAAAGAGAGGACUCUUAAAGAGCUUAACGCUGAAUUAGACAAAGAGAAAGCUCAGUGAACCUGACCACCAGCAAAAAAAAAAAAAAAAAAUGAAGAAAUUGCUUAUCUUGGACUGGACUAAUCUCUGUUGCACCUACUCUGCCAUUUUAGUGCAGAGCUGUAGACUAUUGUAAAUGAAUUACUGUGAUUUAAUAACUGGUUGUGUUCUAGUUAAACUUUAUUUAUUGACCCUGAUAUUUGAAUUUCAUA